GAUGAAGAACUUAGCGAAAUGCGAAAAGUAAUGUGAAUUGCAGAAUUCAGUGAAUCAUCGAAUCUUUGAACGCACAUUGCGCCCGCCAGUAUUCUGGCGGGCAUGCCUGUCUGAGCGUCAUUUCAACCCUCACGCCCCUAGGGCGUGGUGUUGGGGAUCGGCCAAGGCCCGCAAGGGACGGCCGGCCCCUAAAUCUAGUGGCGGACCCAUCGUGGCCUCCCCUGCGAAGUAGUAAUAUAUUCCGCAUCGGAUAGCGAUGAGCCCCUGCCGUUAAACCCCCAACUCUUUCAAGGUUGACCUCAGAUCAGGUAGGAAUACCCGCUGAACUUAAGCAUAUCAAUAAGCGGAGGA
Molecule: unclassified non-coding RNA, 351 nt
Filed under: soil metagenome
Description: partial contains 5.8S ribosomal RNA, internal transcribed spacer 2, and large subunit ribosomal RNA
Rfam family: 5.8S ribosomal RNA (bases 1-120)
Source: RNAcentral